GGCCCUACGGGCCGCAAUAGAGGCUGCAAAUCACGUCUUUUGGUCAAAUUUUGGUCAUUAGCGACCCGCAGCCUAACGGGGCCUUAAGCCGAAUUUCGGCUGCGGGUACUGUGGUACGGACCCACCCGAUUUGCCGACCUCUGGUGGAAACACCGUCACACUAGCACUACACUAAGUCCACAUUAGCCCAUAAUGUCCACACUAGCCCAUAAAUACACUGUGGGCUAGUGUGGACUUAGUGUAGCGCUAGUGUGACGGCGUUUCCACUAGCUGCACAAAGGAGCGCCGAAACCAAAAUGGUUUUCGUAUUUUGAAUGUUUUUGCGCCAGGUAUUAAUUGCUGCUAAUUGCCAAGGUCUGUAAGGAUAAUAUGGAUUGUAGGCUUCUCCUGGCAGCCUUCACGGGUUAUACCGGUGCAUUGAUGGCUCUCCCGCUGCUUAUCAGCCCCAGCAGGCUAGACGACGGCAGAAUAUCCAGUAAAAAUAUAGCUGCUCAGGUCAAAGGUCUGUGAUCAGAAGGCACAAACCGGCCCCUAAAAGUUGCCCGCCAAAUAGUAAAUGCUAGGUUUGGAAGUUAUGGGCAGGUCUGAGGUCCCAUUAACUUUGUGACGCGCUAGUGUGGCUAGUGUACCGGGUGUUUCCACUAGGCCUUACGGUUAUCCGCCAGGAGUGCCCCAACCUCCAAUUUGUUUGAUGAAUAUUUGUUUCUGUAAUUAGUUAUAACAAUAUGCGCAUUAUGAACGGUGAGAGACAAGUCCAGGACGAAGAAUAUUCGAACAUGGUGUUAGU
RNAcentral lists this long non-coding RNA (787 nucleotides) under Volvox carteri. RNAcentral describes it as "long non-coding RNA (VCAR_LNC003344)". The record is from RNAcentral. Lineage: Eukaryota; Viridiplantae; Chlorophyta; Chlorophyceae; Chlamydomonadales; Volvocaceae.